AACGAACGCUGGCGGCGCGCUUAACACAUGCAAGUCGAACGAGAAGGCGUAGCAAUACGCUGGUACAGUGGCGAACGGGUGAGGAAUACAUGGGUAACCUACCCUCGAGUGGGGGAUAACCCGCCGAAAGGCGGGCUAAUACCGCGUACGCUUCCGAUCUUGCGGGAUCGGAAGGAAAGCUGUCCCAAGGGGAUGGCGCUCAAGGAUGGGCUCAUGUCCUAUCAGCUUGNGGUAGGGUAACGGCCUACCAAGGCAUCGACGGUAGCUGGUCUGAGAGGACGAUCAGCCACACUGGCACUGCGACACGGGCCAGACUCCUACGGGAGGCAGCAGUGAGGAAUAUUGCGCAAUGGGCGAAAG
Molecule: ribosomal RNA, 360 nt
Filed under: uncultured bacterium
Lineage: Bacteria
Description: bacterial SSU rRNA
Rfam family: Bacterial small subunit ribosomal RNA
Source: RNAcentral